RNAcentral lists this long non-coding RNA (475 nucleotides) under Astyanax mexicanus (Mexican tetra). Its description in RNAcentral is "lncRNA (ENSAMXG00005008694.1)". The record is from RNAcentral. Lineage: Eukaryota; Metazoa; Chordata; Actinopteri; Characiformes; Acestrorhamphidae.
UAGCAGGUUUUUCUGGAUUCAACUGAAUGGGCGUUGCCAAAACAUCUGUGGGAUUAUACGUUGGACUAUGGACCCUUUAAAGUAUCCACCCAUGUGUGUCAUCUCCACGGUUCAGUCUGCUGUCCUCAUGCUACGCAAUGCUGGGACACUUCAAUCCUGAAUCCCAGAACCUGAGUGCAAGGUGUGGAACACAAGACCAUGUUGGACCAUGUGAUUAAUGGAACACAGAACAAUGUGUUAAAGUCUGCAGAUAGCGAGAAGAUUCACAGGCACCCUGAUAUACAGACAGAAGUGGACAUCCACAGUUCACAGAGUAUCAGAGUCCUGUUGAAAAUAAACCCAACAUAACUCAUUACAUUUUGAACUUUUCUGUAUCGCUUCAGUCAGUAAACUGUCUUCCAGUGUUUACAUGGAUUUUCUCCAAAGCCUCUGUCUGAAAUGUGACCUCAUUUUAAUAAAGCAGUUCACAUGAACA